GGUUAAGCGACUAAGCGUACACGGUGGAUGCCCUGGCAGUCAGAGGCGAUGAAGGGCGUGCUAAUCUGCGAUAAGCGCCGGUAAGGUGAUAUGAACCGUUAUAACCGGCGAUACCCGAAUGGGGAAACCCAGUGUGACUCGUCACACUAUCAUUAACUGAAUCCAUAGGUUAAUGAGGCGAACCGGGGGAACUGAAACAUCUAAGUACCCCGAGGAAAAGAAAUCAACCGAGAUUCCCCCAGUAGCGGCGAGCGAACGGGGAGGAGCCCAGAGCCUGAAUCAGCAUGUGUGUUAGUGGAAGCGUCUGGAAAGGCGCGCGAUACAGGGUGACAGCCCCGUACACAAAAGCGCAUGUGCUGUGAGCUCGAUGAGUAGGGCGGGACACGUGGUAUCCUGUCUGAAUAUGGGGGGACCAUCCUCCAAGGCUAAAUACUCCUGACUGACCGAUAGUGAACCAGUACCGUGAGGGAAAGGCGAAAAGAACCCCGGCGAGGGGAGUGAAAAAGAACCUGAAACCGUGUACGUACAAGCAGUGGGAGCACAGGUUUACCUGUGUGACUGCGUACCUUUUGUAUAAUGGGUCAGCGACUUAUAUUCUGUAGCAAGGUUAACCGUAUAGGGGAGCCGUAGGGAAACCGAGUCUUAACCGGGCGUUAAGUUGCAGGGUAUAGACCCGAAACCCGGUGAUCUAGCCAUGGGCAGGUUGAAGGUUGGGUAACACUAACUGGAGGACCGAACCGACUAAUGUUGAAAAAUUAGCGGAUGACCUGUGGCUGGGGGUGAAAGGCCAAUCAAACCGGGAGAUAGCUGGUUCUCCCCGAAAGCUAUUUAGGUAGCGCCUCGUGAAUUCAUCUCCGGGGGUAGAGCACUGUUUCGGCUAGGGGGCCAUCCCGGCUUACCAACCCGAUGCAAACUGCGAAUACCGGAGAAUGUUAUCACGGGAGACACACGGCGGGUGCUAACGUCCGUCGUGAAGAGGGAAACAACCCAGACCGCCAGCUAAGGUCCCAAAGUCAUGGUUAAGUGGGAAACGAUGUGGGAAGGCCCAGACAGCCAGGAUGUUGGCUUAGAAGCAGCCAUCAUUUAAAGAAAGCGUAAUAGCUCACUGGUCGAGUCGGCCUGCGCGGAAGAUGUAACGGGGCUAAACCAUGCACCGAAGCUGCGGCAGCGAACGUAUCACCCAAGACAACUUUGCGGAGUUGACGAUUGACGGAGCGAAGCGACGUCAAAGCGUUCAUUAAAGUCGAGUUGGCUUAGGGAUACGUUCGUUGGGUAGGGGAGCGUUCUGUAAGCCUGUGAAGGUGGCCUGUGAGGGUUGCUGGAGGUAUCAGAAGUGCGAAUGCUGACAUAAGUAACGAUAAAGCGGGUGAAAAGCCCGCUCGCCGGAAGACCAAGGGUUCCUGUCCAACGUUAAUCGGGGCAGGGUGAGUCGACCCCUAAGGCGAGGCCGAAAGGCGUAGUCGAUGGGAAACGGGUUAAUAUUCCCGUACUUGGUGUUACUGCGAAGGGGGGACGGAGAAGGCUAUGUUGGCCGGGCGACGGUUGUCCCGGUUUAAGCGUGUAGGUGUGUGUUCCAGGUAAAUCCGGUUCACUUUAACACUGAGGCGUGACGACGAGGCACUACGGUGCUGAAGCAACAAAUGCCCUGCUUCCAGGAAAAGCCUCUAAGCAUCAGGUAACAUCAAAUCGUACCCCAAACCGACACAGGUGGUCAGGUAGAGAAUACCAAGGCGCUUGAGAGAACUCGGGUGAAGGAACUAGGCAAAAUGGUGCCGUAACUUCGGGAGAAGGCACGCUGAUAUGUAGGUGAAGCGGUUUACCCGUGGAGCUGAAAUCAGUCGAAGAUACCAGCUGGCUGCAACUGUUUAUUAAAAACACAGCACUGUGCAAACACGAAAGUGGACGUAUACGGUGUGACGCCUGCCCGGUGCCGGAAGGUUAAUUGAUGGGGUCAGCGCAAGCGAAGCUCCUGAUCGAAGCCCCGGUAAACGGCGGCCGUAACUAUAACGGUCCUAAGGUAGCGAAAUUCCUUGUCGGGUAAGUUCCGACCUGCACGAAUGGCGUAAUGAUGGCCAGGCUGUCUCCACCCGAGACUCAGUGAAAUUGAACUCGCUGUGAAGAUGCAGUGUACCCGCGGCAAGACGGAAAGACCCCGUGAACCUUUACUAUAGCUUGACACUGAACAUUGAGCCUUGAUGUGUAGGAUAGGUGGGAGGCUUUGAAGCGUGGACGCCAGUCUGCGUGGAGCCGACCUUGAAAUACCACCCUUUAAUGUUUGAUGUUCUAACGUGGACCCGUAAUCCGGGUUGCGGACAGUGUCUGGUGGGUAGUUUGACUGGGGCGGUCUCCUCCUAAAGAGUAACGGAGGAGCACGAAGGUUGGCUAAUCCUGGUCGGACAUCAGGAGGUUAGUGCAAUGGCAUAAGCCAGCUUGACUGCGAGCGUGACGGCGCGAGCAGGUGCGAAAGCAGGUCAUAGUGAUCCGGUGGUUCUGAAUGGAAGGGCCAUCGCUCAACGGAUAAAAGGUACUCCGGGGAUAACAGGCUGAUACCGCCCAAGAGUUCAUAUCGACGGCGGUGUUUGGCACCUCGAUGUCGGCUCAUCACAUCCUGGGGCUGAAGUAGGUCCCAAGGGUAUGGCUGUUCGCCAUUUAAAGUGGUACGCGAGCUGGGUUUAGAACGUCGUGAGACAGUUCGGUCCCUAUCUGCCGUGGGCGCUGGAGAACUGAGGGGGGCUGCUCCUAGUACGAGAGGACCGGAGUGGACGCAUCACUGGUGUUCGGGUUGUCAUGCCAAUGGCACUGCCCGGUAGCUAAAUGCGGAAGAGAUAAGUGCUGAAAGCAUCUAAGCACGAAACUUGCCCCGAGAUGAGUUCUCCCUGAGACUUUAGGUCUCCUGAAGGAACGUUGAAGACGACGACGUUGAUAGGCCGGGUGUGUAAGCGCAGCGAUGCGUUGAGCUAACCGGUACUAAUGAACCGUGAGGCUUAACCUU
RNAcentral lists this ribosomal RNA (2992 nucleotides) under Salmonella enterica subsp. enterica serovar Muenchen. RNAcentral describes it as "23S ribosomal RNA". It matches the Rfam family "Bacterial large subunit ribosomal RNA". The record is from RNAcentral. Lineage: Bacteria; Pseudomonadati; Pseudomonadota; Gammaproteobacteria; Enterobacterales; Enterobacteriaceae. RNAcentral also lists the same sequence under 1 other name.